GGAGGUUACAGCAAAUGGUAGAGAGCAUGCUUAGCAUGCAUGAGAUCCUGGGUUCAAUCCCCAGUACCUCCU
RNAcentral lists this transfer RNA (72 nucleotides) under Camelus bactrianus (Bactrian camel). It matches the Rfam family "tRNA". From Rfam's summary of the family: Transfer RNA (tRNA) molecules are approximately 80 nucleotides in length. Lineage: Eukaryota; Metazoa; Chordata; Mammalia; Artiodactyla; Camelidae. The record is from Rfam by way of RNAcentral. RNAcentral also lists the same sequence under 2 other names.